RNAcentral lists this ribosomal RNA (369 nucleotides) under uncultured bacterium. RNAcentral's name for it is "bacterial SSU rRNA". It matches the Rfam family "Bacterial small subunit ribosomal RNA", at positions 525 to 896 of the family's 1533-position model. The record is from RNAcentral.
ACGGAGGAUCCGAGCGUUAUCCGGAUUUAUUGGGUUUAAAGGGUGCGUAGGCGGACCCGUUAGUCAGUGGUGAAAGUUUGCAGCUCAACUGUAAAAUUGCCAUUGAAACUGCGGGUCUUGAGUGUAAAUGAGGUAGGCGGAAUGUGUUGUGUAGCGGUGAAAUGCUUAGAUAUAACACAGAACACCAAUUGCGAAGGCAGCUUACUAGGAUACAACUGACGCUGAGGCACGAAAGCGUGGGGAUCAAACAGGAUUAGAUACCCUGGUAGUCCACGCAGUAAACGAUGAAUACUAGCUGUAUGCGAUAUACUGUAUGUGGCAAAGCGAAAGCGUUAAGUAUUCCACCUGGGGAGUACGUUCGCAAGAAUG